GAUGAACGCUGGCUACAGGCUUAACACAUGCAAGUCGAGGGGAAACGACGGGGAAGCUUGCUUCCCCGGGCGUCGACCGGCGCACGGGUGAGUAACGCGUAUCCAACCUGCCUCUGACUGAGGGAUAACCCGUCGAAAGUCGGCCUAAUACCUCAUGGCAUCGUCUGCGGGCAUCCAACGACGAUUAAAGAUUUCAUCGGUCAGGGACGGGGAUGCGUCUGAUUAGUUUGUUGGCGGGGUAACGGCCCACCAAGGCUACGAUCAGUAGGGGUUCUGAGAGGAAGGUCCCUCACAGUGGAACUGAGACACUGGCCAAACUCCUACGGGAGGCAGCAGUGAGGAAUAUUGGACAAUGGGCGGGAGCCUGAACCAGCCAAGUAGCGUGCAGGAUGACGGCCCUAUGGGUUGUAAACUGCUUUUAUGCGGGGAUAAAGUGAUGGACGUGUCCUUCAUUGCAGGUACCGCAUGAAUAAGGACCGGCUAAUUCCGUG
Molecule: ribosomal RNA, 491 nt
Filed under: uncultured bacterium
Lineage: Bacteria
Description: partial 16S ribosomal RNA
Rfam family: Bacterial small subunit ribosomal RNA
Source: RNAcentral